GCAAGUCGAACGAUGAAGCCCAGCUUGCUGGGUGGAUUAGUGGCGAACGGGUGAGUAACACGUGAGUAACCUGCCCCCGACUCUGGGAUAAGCCCGGGAAACUGGGUCUAAUACCGGAUAUGACCUCGCACCGCAUGGUGCGGGGUGGAAAGAUUUAUCGGUGGGGGAUGGACUCGCGGCCUAUCAGCUUGUUGGUGAGGUAAUGGCUCACCAAGGCGACGACGGGUAGCCGGCCUGAGAGGGUGACCGGCCACACUGGGACUGAGACACGGCCCAGACUCCUACGGGAGGCAGCAGUGGGGAAUAUUGCACAAUGGGCGAAAGCCUGAUGCAGCGACGCCGCGUGAGGGAUGACGGCCUUCGGGUUGUAAACCUCUUUCAGUAGGGAAGAAGCGAAAGUGACGGUACCUGCAGAAGAAGCGCCGGCUAACUACGUGCCAGCAGCCGCGGUAAUACGUAGGGCGCAAGCGUUAUCCGGAUUUAUUGGGCGUAAAGAGCUCGUAGGCGGUUUGUCGCGUCUGCCGUGAAAGUCCGAGGCUCAACCUCGGAUCUGCGGUGGGUACGGGCAGACUAGAGUGAUGUAGGGGAGACUGGAAUUCCUGGUGUAGCGGUGAAAUGCGCAGAUAUCAGGAGGAACACCGAUGGCGAAGGCAGGUCUCUGGGCAUUUACUGACGCUGAGGAGCGAAAGCAUGGGGAGCGAACAGGAUUAGAUACCCUGGUAGUCCAUGCCGUAAACGUUGGGCACUAGGUGUGGGGGACAUUCCACGUUUUCCGCGCCGUAGCUAACGCAUUAAGUGCCCCGCCUGGGGAGUACGGCCGCAAGGCUAAAACUCAAAGGAAUUGACGGGGGCCCGCACAAGCGGCGGAGCAUGCGGAUUAAUUCGAUGCAACGCGAAGAACCUUACCAAGGCUUGACAUGUGCCAGACCGCCUCAGAGAUGGGGUUUCCCUUCGGGGCUGGG
Molecule: ribosomal RNA, 962 nt
Filed under: Arthrobacter sp. P4
Lineage: Bacteria; Bacillati; Actinomycetota; Actinomycetes; Micrococcales; Micrococcaceae
Description: bacterial SSU rRNA
Rfam family: Bacterial small subunit ribosomal RNA
Source: RNAcentral